UAUGAAGUCCAUGAGGCUUUUAAUAAAGGUC
RNAcentral lists this non-coding RNA (31 nucleotides) under Homo sapiens (human). Lineage: Eukaryota; Metazoa; Chordata; Mammalia; Primates; Hominidae. The record is from RNAcentral.